RNAcentral lists this ribosomal RNA (266 nucleotides) under uncultured archaeon. Its description in RNAcentral is "partial 16S ribosomal RNA". It matches the Rfam family "Archaeal small subunit ribosomal RNA", at positions 717 to 982 of the family's 1478-position model. The record is from RNAcentral.
ACACGACUACAUUAGAUACCCCUGUAGUCCUAGCCGUAAACGAUACUCGCUAGGUGUCGGCCACGGUGCGACCGUUGUCGGUGCCGUAGGGAAGCCGUGAAGCGAGCCACCGUGGGAAGUACGGCCGCAAGGCUAGAAACUUAAAGGAAUUGGCGGGGAGCACAACAACGGGUGGAGCUUGCGGUUUAAUUGGAUUCAACGCCGGAAAUCUUACCGGGACCGACAGCAACAUGAAGGCCAAGCUGAAGACUUUGCCGGAUUAGCUG